RNAcentral lists this ribosomal RNA (402 nucleotides) under uncultured bacterium. RNAcentral's name for it is "bacterial SSU rRNA". It matches the Rfam family "Bacterial small subunit ribosomal RNA", at positions 355 to 774 of the family's 1533-position model. The record is from RNAcentral.
UGGGGAAUAUUGCACAAUGGGGGAAACCCUGAUGCAGCGACGCCGCGUGAAGGAAGAAGUAUCUCGGUAUGUAAACUUCUAUCAGCAGGGAAGAAAAUGACGGUACCUGACUAAGAAGCCCCGGCUAAUUACGUGCCAGCAGCCGCGGUAAUACGUAAGGGGCAAGCGUUAUCCGGAUUUACUGGGUGUAAAGGGAGCGUAGACGGAUGGACAAGUCUGAUGUGAAAGGCGGGGGCCCAACCCCCGGACUGCAUUGGAAACUGCCCGUCUUGAGUGCCGGAGAGGUAAGCGGAAUUCCUAGUGUAGCGGUGAAAUGCGUAGAUAUUAGGAGGAACACCAGUGGCGAAGGCGGCUUACUGGACGGUAACUGACGUUGAGGCUCGAAAGCGUGGGGAGCAAACA